RNAcentral lists this ribosomal RNA (305 nucleotides) under uncultured bacterium. RNAcentral describes it as "bacterial SSU rRNA". It matches the Rfam family "Bacterial small subunit ribosomal RNA", at positions 333 to 655 of the family's 1533-position model. The record is from RNAcentral.
AUCUGCCUACGGGACGCAGCAGUGGGGGAUAUUGCACAAUGGGGGGAACCCUGAUGCAGCGACGCCGCGUGGGUGAAGAAGCGCCUCGGCGCGUAAAGCCCUGUCAGCAGGGAAGAAAAUGACGGUACCUGAAGAAGAAGCCCCGGCUAAUUACGUGCCAGCAGCCGCGGUAAUACGUAGGGGGCAAGCGUUAUCCGGAUUUACUGGGUGUAAAGGGAGCGUAGACGGCGGUGCAAGCCAGAUGUGAAAGCCCGGGGCUCAACCCCGGGACUGCAUUUGGAACUGUGCUGCUAGAGUGUCGGAUG